UGGGGAAUUUUGGACAAUGGGGGCAACCCUGAUCCAGCAAUGCCGCGUGAGUGAAGAAGGCCUUCGGGUUGUAAAGCUCUUUUGUCAGGGAAGAAACGGUAGUAGCGAAUAACUAUUACUAAUGACGGUACCUGAAGAAUAAGCACCGGCUAACUACGUGCCAGCAGCCGCGGUAAUACGUAGGGUGCAAGCGUUAAUCGGAAUUACUGGGCGUAAAGCGUGCGCAGGCGGUUGUGUAAGUCAGAUGUGAAAUCCCCGGGCUCAACCUGGGAAUUGCAUUUGAGACUGCACGGCUAGAGUGUGUCAGAGGGGGGUAGAAUUCCACGUGUAGCAGUGAAAUGCGUAGAUAUGUGGAGGAAUACCGAUGGCGAAGGCAGCCCCCUGGGAUAACACUGACGCUCAUGCACGAAAGCGUGGGGAGCAAACAGGAUUAGAUACCCACGUAGUCCCUG
RNAcentral lists this ribosomal RNA (452 nucleotides) under uncultured bacterium. Its description in RNAcentral is "bacterial SSU rRNA". It matches the Rfam family "Bacterial small subunit ribosomal RNA", at positions 355 to 799 of the family's 1533-position model. The record is from RNAcentral.